RNAcentral lists this transfer RNA (68 nucleotides) under Stegodyphus mimosarum. It matches the Rfam family "tRNA". Rfam says of the family: Transfer RNA (tRNA) molecules are approximately 80 nucleotides in length. Their secondary structure includes four short double-helical elements and three loops (D, anti-codon, and T loops). The record is from Rfam by way of RNAcentral. Lineage: Eukaryota; Metazoa; Arthropoda; Arachnida; Araneae; Eresidae.
GCCUUCGUGGUGUAGUGGUCAGCACGAUGGUAUUCCAGAGGUCCGUGGUUCGAUUCCCGGCGAAGGCG